This 253-nucleotide ribosomal RNA is filed under the name uncultured bacterium. Its description in RNAcentral is "partial 16S ribosomal RNA". It matches the Rfam family "Bacterial small subunit ribosomal RNA", at positions 524 to 776 of the family's 1533-position model. The record is from RNAcentral.
UACGUAGGGACCAAGCGUUGUUCGGAUUUACUGGGCGUAAAGGGCCAGUAGGCGGCCAACUAAGUCGGAUGUGAAAUCCCCAGGCUUAACCUGGGAACUGCGUCUGAUACUGGACGGCUUGAGUAUGGGAGAGGGAUGUAGAAUUCCAGGUGUAGCGGUGAAAUGCGUAGAUAUCUGGAGGAAUACCGGUGGCGAAGGCGGCAUCCUGGACCAUUACUGACGCUGAGGCGCGAAAGCUAGGGGAGCAAACGGG